UGGGGAAUAUUGCACAAUGGGCGAAAGCCUGAUGCAGCAACGCCGCGUGAGUGAUGAAGGCCUUCGGGUUGUAAAGCACUUUUGUCCGGAAAGAAAUCCUUGGCUCUAAUACAGUCGGGGGAUGACGGUACCGGAAGAAUAAGCACCGGCUAACUACGUGCCAGCAGUCGCGGUAAUACGUAGGGUGCAAGCGUUAAUCGGAAUUACUGGGCGUUAAAGCGUGCGCAGGCGGUUUGCUAAGACCGAUGUGAAAUCCCCGGGCUCAACCUGGGAACUGCAUUGGUGACUGGCAGGCUAGAGUAUGGCAGAGGGGGGUAGAAUUCCACGUGUAGCAGUGAAAUGCGUAGAGAUGUGGAGGAAUACCGAUGGCGAAGGCAGCCCCCUGGGCCAAUACUGACGCUCAUGCACGAAAGCGUGGGGAGCAAACAGGAUUAGAUACCCCUGGUAGUCCACGCCCUAAACGAUGUCAACUAGUUGUUGGGGAUUCAUUUCCUUAGUAACGUAGCUAACGCGUGAAGUUGACCGCCUGGGGAGUACGGUCGCAAG
Molecule: ribosomal RNA, 546 nt
Filed under: uncultured bacterium
Lineage: Bacteria
Description: partial 16S ribosomal RNA
Rfam family: Bacterial small subunit ribosomal RNA
Source: RNAcentral